This 1009-nucleotide small RNA is filed under the name Arabidopsis thaliana (thale cress). Its description in RNAcentral is "ATSL233930". The record is from RNAcentral. Lineage: Eukaryota; Viridiplantae; Streptophyta; Magnoliopsida; Brassicales; Brassicaceae.
AUCAUAUAUCCAAAUGUUAUUCUAAAAAGUAAGCAAAGCUUCUUAUAGAGGUGUCAAAAUAGGUAACCCAACUCAACUCAACUCAUAAUCAAAUGAGUUAUGGGUUGACCCAACUCAUUUUGUUAAAUGAAUUGGGUCAACCCAUAACUCAUUUAAUUUGAUGGGUUGAGUUGUUAAAUGGGUUAACCCAUUUAAAUAAUAAUUUAAUUAAUUAUUAUUAUAAAACAAUAAUAAAUAAUUAUCAUUAUUAAUAAUUAUUAAUUCAUUAUCAUCAAACUUAGAAUAUUUACAGAUUUCACCGUUUACGGAUUUACGUUUUUGGCGGGAAAAUCACGUGUUUUCGUUUUUGGCGGGAAAAUCACAGGUUUUUGUUUUUGGCGGAAAAAUCACGGAUUUUCGUUUUUGGCGGGAAAAUCACGGGUUUUCGUUUUUGACGGGAAAAUCACGGGUUUUCGUUUUUGGCGGGAAAAUCAUGGAUUUUCGUUUUUGGCGGAAAAAUCACGGGUUUACGUUUUUUGCGGAAAAAUCACGGAUUUACGUUUUUGGCGGGAAAAUCACGGGAUUAUGUUUUUUGGUGGAAAAAUUACGAGUUUACUUUUUUCAAUUCAUCGCUUGUAUAUUUAAGAAAUUUGGAAAAAUAUUGAUUUUAUUAGAUUGGUUUAGAUGUGUUGGUUAAACUUAAAUUGACAUUGGUUUAGAGAUUUUAGUUGGUUUAAUUCAAUUUUACAAAAUUUGAUGGGUUAAUUGGGUAAACCAUUGAAACCAUUAACCAUUACAACCCAACUCAUUUUACUCAUCAAACCAAUUGACCAAAUAACUCAUUUGACCCAUCAACUCAUUUGAGUCAAAAAUUUCAACUCAUUAGGGUUCAUGGAUUGAGUUGAAUUGAGUUAACUCAUGAAUUUUGACCCAUUUUGACAUCCCUAGCUUCUCAUAACAUUAUUCUUCAAUAAUUUCCAUCAACUGCUUUGCCGAUCUUUAGACCAGCUCUUUCUUUCCUUUAAUUUCU